This 431-nucleotide ribosomal RNA is filed under the name uncultured bacterium. RNAcentral describes it as "bacterial SSU rRNA". It matches the Rfam family "Bacterial small subunit ribosomal RNA", at positions 29 to 506 of the family's 1533-position model. The record is from RNAcentral.
ACGAACGCUGGCGGCAUGCCUAACACAUGCAAGUCGAACGAGACCUUCGGGUCUAGUGGCGCACGGGUGCGUAACGCGUGGGAAUCUGCCCUUGGGUUCGGAAUAACUCCUCGAAAGGGGUGCUAAUACCGGAUAAUGUCGCAAGACCAAAGAUUUAUCGCCCGAGGAUGAGCCCGCGUAGGAUUAGCUUGUUGGUGAGGUAAAAGCUCACCAAGGCGACGAUCCUUAGCUGGUCUGAGAGGAUGAUCAGCCACACUGGGACUGAGACACGGCCCAGACUCCUACGGGAGGCAGCAGUGGGGAAUAUUGGACAAUGGGCGAAAGCCUGAUCCAGCAAUGCCGCGUGAGUGAUGAAGGCCUUAGGGUUGUAAAGCUCUUUUACCCGGGAUGAUAAUGACAGUACCGGGAGAAUAAGCCCCGGCUAACUCCGU